Molecule: ribosomal RNA, 589 nt
Filed under: uncultured bacterium
Lineage: Bacteria
Description: bacterial SSU rRNA
Rfam family: Bacterial small subunit ribosomal RNA
Source: RNAcentral
GCGGACGGGUGAGGAACACAUCGGAAUUUGCCCAGUCGUGGGGAUAACGUAGGGAAACUUACGCUAAUACCGCAUACGACCGAUAAGGUGAAAGCGGGGGAUCUGUAAGGACCUCGCGCGGAUGGAUAGCCGAUGUCGGAUUAGCUAGUUGGCGGGGGUAAGAGCCCACCAAGGCGACGAUCCGUAGCUGGUCUGAGAGGAUGAUCAGCCACACUGGGACUGAGACACGGCCCAGACUCCUACGGGAGGCAGCAGUGGGGAAUAUUGGACAAUGGGGGCAACCCUGAUCCAGCAAUGCCGCGUGUGUGAAGAAGGCCUUCGGGUUGUAAAGCACUUUUAUCCGGAACGAAACGCGCAGGGUGAAUAUCCUUGCGAACUGACGGUACCGGAGGAAUAAGCACCGGCUAACUUCGUGCCAGCAGCCGCGGUAAUACGAAGGGUGCAAGCGUUACUCGGAAUUACUGGGCGUAAGGGUGCGUAGGUGGUUGUAAGUUUGCUGUGAAAGCCCCGGGGCUCAACUCUUGGGAAUGGCCAGUGAAUACUGGGAUCAGCUUAGAAGUGCGGUAGAGGGUUAGGCGGAAAUUCCCGG